ACUAUUUGAAAUUCUACAGAUGGAGACUCUCAAAGGGUACUUUUCCCUUUAACUUUCUCUCUUUGUUUCUAAUUUUGUUUUUUAGUAGUUUUAAUUGUUCAGGGUUUGACUCAAACCGUUUGAGAGCUUGGUGUUUACUUGCAACCACAUUCUUGGAUUCUCUAACACAAGGUUGUAAGGCUGAAUAUCGUGUGAAUCAGAUAAGGAAUAACUAUUUUAACUUAUCUUGAAUCAAUAUACAAUUAUAUUAAUCGAAAUAAGCUAGAGAAAGGUUUAUUUGUCUGUGGUAUAAGCAGUGGCAUAAGUUGCUGGAAGAACUUGCACGAUAGAGUAAAACAAGAAUAUCAACUAGCCACGAACUCCUACUUCUUAAAGCACCGCAAUCCGUAGCUGUGAAAAAAUGUGAGAGAUCAAGUUCUAGAGAAAAACCAAAAGCUAAGCAAGAUUCAGAUUUGUGGAAGUAAAGCUUUUGCAUGAUAAUUCAAUAAAAUCAUAUUCAGAUCUAUCGCAAUGGAGCAUUAAAAUGGUCGUGCGUCAUAUUUGCCCAUUCGAGUCCAAAGUCAAGAUCUAUUUAGAGCAAUCAAAAUACACAUUUUGAAAAGAAGUCUUCUUUCAUCCUUGCACGGUGAAGAACAAAGACUCUGCUUCCCUUUCCAGGUUUCACUUUGAUUUUUAUCAGAUAUUUGUCUUUGUGCUAAUAUAUGGUUAUGAAGUUCUACUGUUUCAGAUGGAUUUCGUUAAUAAGUGUUCAUGGGAUUAAUACAACAAUCUUCAGCAUUAAUACAAUUUUUCUUUUCUUUCACUAUAAAGGAUUCUUAUUCGUUUGGUUGUUGAAAGAUACCAAGAACUCUCAUCAAAACUAGAGUACAAUUUUCCAUUGAAGUAGCAAGAGUAGAUCUAUGGAGGUGCUUUCCAGGAUUUUGAAGUAACGUGAAGCUGAAUAUUGAAAAUAUGCAAAGACAAAAAGGCUCGAGCGGGAAUCAGGGAGGUUCACUUCCAUUGACUUACAUCGACAGCAGAAGGCAGUAGUCAAGGUGCUCUCCUGAUUAGGUGGUGCUAGAGAAAACGAAGGAAAGCCUAGGUGCAUGGUGCAACAUAUGGUAAUUUGUUGGAUUGUUGCCCCCAAGACAUGAAAGUACUGAAACCAUUGGAAGGGCUUUGACUCUCGGUGUUAACAUCAAGAUGAUCACUGGCCAGAUAACCAGUUGUAAACUUGGAAUGGGAAUAAACAUGUAUCCAUCUUCGGCUUUUCUUGGUACGCACAAGUGGUAGGAACCAACAAACCCCAUGGAUGAAUAUGUCUCUCAAGUCUCAAUGGUUGUAAGUUUUGUCACGUAAGAGACAUGGAGAACAUACCUGGCAGAGAAUCAAGUGAAUUCCUCCAAAGAACUGAUCAGAUUAGAAAGAGCUAGUGUCUUGCGGCUGAAUAGAAUGGGAGAUAUGUAAAGGAAGGAACAAAUACUUUUGACAAACUAUUUAGGCCAUCGUCAAAGAUUUUGCAACAUACACAUCCAUUAAUUAGUAUUCAGUAGACAGUGGAAAGAAGUGUCUAAAGGAAACUUGAACCCAGAUGUCUGCAUAGAGGUAAAUCCACAUAAGAUCUCACACCCUCGGCCAAGUUCACAUCACACAUUAGAAUUAUAGAACCUUGGUAAGUAGAAUAAACCUACUUAAC
Molecule: small RNA, 1675 nt
Filed under: Arabidopsis thaliana (thale cress)
Lineage: Eukaryota; Viridiplantae; Streptophyta; Magnoliopsida; Brassicales; Brassicaceae
Description: putative long intergenic non-coding RNA
Source: RNAcentral